CAGCAGCCGCGGUAAUACGAGGGGUGCAAGCGUUACUCGGAAUUACCGGGCGUAAAGGGUGCGUAGGUGGUCUUUUAAGUCCGUUGUGAAAUCCCUGGGCUCAACUUGGGAAUGGCAGUGGAUACUGGAAGGCUAGAGUGCGGUAGAGGGUAGUGGAAUUCCCGGUGUAGCAGUGAAAUGCGUAGAGAUCGGGAGGAACACCAGUGGCGAAGGCGGCUACCUGGACCAGCACUGACACUGAAGCACGAAAGCGUGGGGAGCAAACUGGAUUAGAUACCCGUGUAGUCCCUGUCUCUUAUAC
This 301-nucleotide ribosomal RNA is filed under the name uncultured bacterium. RNAcentral's name for it is "partial 16S ribosomal RNA". It matches the Rfam family "Bacterial small subunit ribosomal RNA", at positions 509 to 807 of the family's 1533-position model. The record is from RNAcentral.